Molecule: long non-coding RNA, 271 nt
Filed under: Pongo abelii (Sumatran orangutan)
Lineage: Eukaryota; Metazoa; Chordata; Mammalia; Primates; Hominidae
Description: lincRNA
Source: RNAcentral
GGAUCGGACGGCACUGUGUGCUCUAGGCAGGGACAGCUGAGGGGCCAAUGCCCUGCCGCUCCCAGCCAGAGGAGGAUGCCCCCAUCUGUUCACUGCAUCCUCCAGUGGGAAACAAGCAAAACAAGAGGCAAUGCAUUUGCAGUCACUACAGUAGGAAGAGGUAUUUGCUUUCUACCAGCAGACACACAACCGGUUGGAUGUGGAGAGAAGCGGAUCGGUGGAAGAAGACACAAGCGGCUGGACGUCAAGGGGAGCACACCGACAGAAGAGC